GUAUUUGUAGCUUUCUCAAGUUGGUAGAGCUUUGCGCUAACAAUGCAAAGGCCGUGGGUUCAAAUCCCAGGGAAAGCA
Non-coding RNA from Danionella cerebrum, 78 nucleotides. Lineage: Eukaryota; Metazoa; Chordata; Actinopteri; Cypriniformes; Danionidae. The record is from the annotation of a GenBank genome assembly.